UCACUCUUUUUCUAACACAGGGACAAACAUUUUCAAUCGAAGCAAAGAUAUCCUUCCCAGCUAACCAAAAGAAAUACUACAUUUUAGUAUGUUCCAAUUGUGGACAGGACGUCCGUUAUCCGAUCAUCAUGCAAAUUCACUGUAUGAACUGUGGUCAACACAGAAUGCUCAUCCCCAGGUGCCGAUUUAAUGUAAAUCUGGAAGAUAACUCUGGUACAACAACAGGAAUGAUUAUGAACAAAGAGGGAGAGAAAUUACUAUCCCUGACUGCAGAACAGAUUUACGAAAGAACUUCCACUAAGAGCAAUUGUCCACCUAUGAAAGAUCUCCACACAGGCUUUAUCAACAAGAUCUUUUCUAUUCGGGCAAAAAAGGC
Molecule: long non-coding RNA, 376 nt
Organism: Solanum tuberosum (potato)
Lineage: Eukaryota; Viridiplantae; Streptophyta; Magnoliopsida; Solanales; Solanaceae
Exons: 3
Source: RefSeq, a predicted model, not a curated record